This 450-nucleotide long non-coding RNA is filed under the name Cyanistes caeruleus (blue tit). Its description in RNAcentral is "lncRNA (ENSCCEG00000018563.1)". Lineage: Eukaryota; Metazoa; Chordata; Aves; Passeriformes; Paridae. The record is from RNAcentral.
CAGGCUUUUCUUGGCCUGGUAAAGAAAUGCCAGAGGAGCUUGCCUGUGUGCAUAAUGACACUUUCAGGAAUCAGUUGCUCCCCUAAACACAUCUGACGAACUAAGGUACUGCCUUUAACCAUUCAUGGGUACAUUAUAGAGGAAGAUGGAAGAUUUGUGUGUCACAAAGCUGAACCCUUGGGAAGGAAUAUACUGAAAAACAUUAGACCAUCUACUGAAGCUGCACCUGGGAAACUAAAGUUUACUUCAUUAAUUUCUCAUCUAGAAAAUUGUACCUUCUCACACCAUCUGAUGGAAAUAAAGUGUAUGUUGCUGGGAUCAGGUGCCUGAGAUCAAUAAUGAUAUGGUGAAUGUAAGCUAUUUUUGGUAAAUUUGCCUUUAUAAGAGAUGAGGCAAAUAAGUAAAAAAAAAAAAAAUAAAAAAAAUAAAAAAAGCUGGGAAUUUUCUUGA